Molecule: RNA transcript, 3673 nt
Organism: Corticium candelabrum
Lineage: Eukaryota; Metazoa; Porifera; Homoscleromorpha; Homosclerophorida; Plakinidae
Gene name: phosphoinositide 3-kinase regulatory subunit 5-like
Exons: 22
Source: RefSeq, a predicted model, not a curated record
UUAGGGGCGUCAAAUUUCGUGUGAAUGUUAAGCGCCGAGAAAUGAUUUCCUGUAAACAGUAGACCCGAAAUAGCGUUACAACAUAUCCGGGAACAAGCGGUGAGGCCGGGGCGCGAGCAGUAGCUAGAGCAGUCACGAUAUCUCACUCGAACAUGGAGGUGAUCGAUCCGAAGCUUGUGGAAGGUAUCCGUCUAGCAGAAUACGCUCUGGGGCCAACGCCAAACUCGAAGCAGUGUUUGACACCCAGCCAAAUCAGCCACUUUCACAGCUUGCUCUCUGAUCCACUGGUGGCCAGCGGCUAUCUCAGUUGUUUGAUAGCGAAGCUGAUAUCACUGGACAGUCUGCAUGGCUACAAGCCGAUCAAGUCAGUUUUGUACGAUCUGUUGCAAAGACACCAAUUUAAUACCCAAGAUGGUUACAAGGAAUGGCUCGAAAAAGCACCAACAGGAGGAGGCUCAAAUCUAUUGUCUCCUUUUCAUGUGGUUCGAUCAAACCUCAUUGACACUGUCUGCUUCGUUGGAUGGCUGUUUUCCUGUACGGUCACAGACACACUGCGGACGUUGUGGAGACAGUGGCAGAUAGCAUGCUCUACUCAUUGUCGAUCCAAGUCUGAAAAAAUGGCCUUACAUCUCGUAGGAUCCAUAGUGAAUUCAUCUCAAUUGAAUAUUAGAGACAUCGUUUCCCUGUGCUGUCAAGGAUUCAAAGCUGGUCAUUUCUUGCCUGAUUUUUUGACACACAAGGAAAGCUCGCCAGAUGAAGUUGCUGGCAAUGACCAUCUUUUGUAUGCCAGACUUAGAAAAAUGGCAAGAACUUCUGAGAGUGCAAAGGAAACUCUUCAAGCUGUCAUCGAUCAGCUUGAAAGGCUUGAAUUCAAUGAAGAAGAUGAGCAAGUUUUUCCAGUUUUGCAGCUUUUUUGUGAGACUGUAAUGGCGGCUCCUUAUGUUCACCAAGAACAUUAUUUCAAUGCUUAUCGAGCUGUUCAGCCACUCUACUUGUGGCCUCUUCCACAUUGUGAUGUUGCUAGAGAUGUCAUGAACUUUAUUCAAGAUGAAAUGAAAUCUCCAGGAAUCCAUUUUCGACGUCGGUUGAUUUCUGAACACAAUCUGAAUGUAAAACAAUUCCUCUCUCAUGGAGACAGAGAACACAGUAUUCACGUUUUAGUGGACACAUCUGCUAUUGCAGCUGAUUCUCUUUACUCUUCACUUGCACACCAGGAAUGCCUAACUGAAACACAUUUACAACAAUUACUUAUUAAACAUACACUUCUCAGUUAUUAUGGUACAAACUGUAAUUUGGCGGAUGUUGAAGAAGGCCUUUCGCUUUGUGCAGCUGACGGAUCAAUUGAAAGUCUUUGCAAUGCUGCUGUUCAAUAUUCUGAACAGGCAGCUGGGUUUGCAAGUGAAGAGAAAGCUCUGGAUGUGCUGGGAGACAGACUUGAGUCUUUAAUGGAAAGAAUCACUUCUCAAGUGGCAAAAUCUAAUGAAUCUUCUGCCAUGGCUACUAAUGGAUGUGAUGACAAAGAAACAGUGGCUGUUGCUCUUCCCAGGCCUUGCAUAGAACGUCAUACAUUUAAUAGUGAAGAGUCAACUAGUGCUCACUCUUCCUUAUUUGAAAUUCUAUUUAAAUCAGAUUAUUUUGAUAUGAGGCCACGAAACUCUAUUUCUCCUCCAACUUGUUUUGACGAUGGAUUUAAUGUUAGAGCAAAUUCAACAGGCAGCAGGACAAGCUACGACAGUUUGGGCAGCUCGUUCACCUUGGAAGACACACCACCUUCCAGCAUUCUGCCUGAAAUUAAAGAGGAGACUGAAGCAGGAUUUGAAAAUGAGGAGGGGGGAAAAUGUAUCCCUCAUUGUUGUGUGUCUUCUUCUGAUACUUGUACUGAUGUAAGAUGCAGUUCAUGUGUAAGUUGCACAAGUUUGGACAGUACUGGUAGUAGUGCUGUUUAUGGAACGCCAGAUGUCAAUAGAAAAUCACACCUUGCUGUGGAAUCAGACUUGCCAUUGGUAACAUCAGCAGGAGAAGAUGUUGUGUUGCCUAAUAUUUUAGUAGUCGAACCGUCUCGUGAAUUAGUGGCACGUAAUACUUCACUUUCUGUUUUAUCGGUGAUUUCUGAGAUUACAGCUAAAGGAGAGCAUAAUGAUAAACAGGAUUAUGAGCAGCAUGCUUUGCAUGCUACUGAUCAGCAUAGUGCAUCAUUGCAGUGUGAUCAAACUCCCACUUUGCUUGAAGUACCAUUGAGACACUCUACAUGUCAAACAGUUGCUGGUGAAAUUCCAGUUCGGAAAGGAAUCACUAGCAUUUAUGAAUAUCAAGACAAAGUAAAGGCGGGAGCAGAUCGAUCAUUAUUGCAACGAUCUCGACUGUUAAGUUUGGAUGAAACAGAAAGAAGUAAACCCAGUUUGUUUAAGAUAGUAGUUGCUGGCCCAGAUCAAGGGAUCAACAGUGUUGCUUCUGCAUAUGCUGACAUAAGGGCAACUCAUUCAAUUUUUUUUGAAAAGGCAGAAGUGCGGUUUUAUUACCUUCCACUUAGUGCUCGUACGAAGACAUCUGAUUUGAAUCACACAUUGGGUGCAUCAAAACGGUUGUCACUACCGAAAGUACUUGGUCGUCGGAGCAGCUGGAGUACCAGUACUGAUCAUUGUAGCAACAAUGACAAGAUAUCAAAGCAUUGUGCCAAGAAUUGGCUAGCUGAUUUUAUGGCAAAGAUUGAUGGAUGGCAUGUUCGUCAUGUAACAUCUGCUGUGACAAGGGCGUUGAAUGUUUUACCUCACACAAAGGAAAGAGAAGGGGAUCACACAAAGAAGGAAGCAGCAGAUGAGAAGGAUUUAGAAAAUGUCGAACAUAAUACUACUCCUUUUGGGCUUGUGCAAGACUCUAUAGUUGGUAUGUGUCGAUUUGCGAGAUACAAAGUUGGCAUCAAAUUGUACAGUGUAAGGAUUUGGCAACAUGGUAAUGAUCAAGCAGUUGAGCCAUCUUCCAAGCUUGUAAUGGUUCAGCGACUUGAAGUUCUUGGAGCCGGGCAGCUCAGAUAUCUCAAUGAAUUCACUGAAACACGUAACCAGCUCUCAGUUCUCCACGUAACAGGGUCACUGGUGACAGUGGAUGGACAUCAUCUGGGCCCGUUUACUUUGCCUGAUAAAUCCUAUUGGUCACUAACAAUUUCAAAUAUACCUCGUCCAGGAGAUACAUGUGUAGCUAAUCCAGGUUGGCAAUUCUUGUUUGACUUGUGUAUAGUCGCUAGUUGUGUAGGAUCUUCUACCGCUGCACAACUCCAACUUCACAAUUAUAUAACGGUCAUCUCAACAAUUUGUAUAGUGCACCAAAUGCAAUCAAUUGGCCUGAAGUCUGCACCUAAAAUUGUAGAGAGUCUUCUUUUUUACUCUUUGUUUAGCAUGAAAAGGAUUGCCUAAGAUUUGGCUAGGCUAAGUCAGUCAACUACGUACUUUCCAGUCAGCUUGUAGUGAUUAGAAAUCAUUUGAUUUAAUCUCACAGUAUGACGUAUGAGAAUCUUAUUGAUUUACAGAAACAUCUGGUUUGGAACUUGCACUGGUGCAAGGUGUUCAUUUGCCUCUAAGAAUAGGCUUCAAGGGCAGACGAUCUGGGCCCAAAGAUGAGAAGGAAGUUCUUCACGUCAAUGAGGUGCAAGUUACAUCACAGAAGCCUUUCAAUGUAG